GAUGAACGCUGGCGGCGUGCCUAAUACAUGCAAGUCGAGCGAACAGACGAGGAGCUUGCUCCUCUGACGUUAGCGGCGGACGGGUGAGUAACACGUGGAUAACCUACCUAUAAGACUGGGAUAACUUCGGGAAACCGGAGCUAAUACCGGAUAAUAUAUUGAACCGCAUGGUUCAAUAGUGAAAGACGGUUUUGCUGUCACUUAUAGAUGGAUCCGCGCCGCAUUAGCUAGUUGGUAAGGUAACGGCUUACCAAGGCAACGAUGCGUAGCCGACCUGAGAGGGUGAUCGGCCACACUGGAACUGAGACACGGUCCAGACUCCUACGGGAGGCAGAAGUAGGGAAUCUUCCGCAAUGGGCGAAAGCCUGACGGAGCAACGCCGCGUGAGUGAUGAAGGUUUUCGGAUCGUAAAACUCUGUUAUUAGGGAAGAACAAAUGUGUAAGUAACUAUGCACGUCUUGACGGUACCUAAUCAGAAAGCCACGGCUAACUACGUG
Molecule: ribosomal RNA, 497 nt
Filed under: uncultured bacterium
Lineage: Bacteria
Description: partial 16S ribosomal RNA
Rfam family: Bacterial small subunit ribosomal RNA
Source: RNAcentral